This 82-nucleotide non-coding RNA is filed under the name human gut metagenome. Its description in RNAcentral is "Purine riboswitch". The stretch from base 11 to 81 matches the Rfam family "Purine riboswitch aptamer", at positions 18 to 92 of the family's 102-position model. From Rfam's summary of the family: Riboswitches are metabolite binding domains within certain messenger RNAs that serve as precision sensors for their corresponding targets. Allosteric rearrangement of mRNA structure is mediated by ligand binding, and this results in modulation of gene expression. The record is from RNAcentral.
AUAGACCGGUAACUCAUAUAUGCUCGAGAUAUGGUCGAGCGUCUCUACCUAAAGCCGUAAAUUUUAGACUAUGAGUUGGUUG